Molecule: non-coding RNA, 486 nt
Organism: Podarcis muralis (Common wall lizard)
Lineage: Eukaryota; Metazoa; Chordata; Lepidosauria; Squamata; Lacertidae
Source: RefSeq, a predicted model, not a curated record
GAGAAAGGCUUCAAGAGUAAACCCUGAGGAAAAGUACGUAUCUGUUGCCUUUGGGAGAAGAAAAGGCUGAGGAGUAAACCCUACACUAAGACGUUUGGAUGGCGUCUUGAACACCUCUUUCCAUCAACUCUUGCAGUCAAGCUGGUGCCAGAUGUAUUGCUUUCCUUUCCUUUGGUCCAUAUCUGUGAGGCCAAGAGACAGGGUCUUGUCUGGGCAGCCCAGGAGCUCCACACACACUGCCCGGGUUUGCAACCCAAUGAGGACUGAAAGGAUGCUGGUUGUUCGUUAAUGAACUUCUUCAAUUGUACAUCUAAAGAUUUACACAAAAUAUUCCAGAACUCACAAAGGGAGGAGGAUAUUCAGAAACACAACAUAACAGACAUGAUACAAGCAGUGGUUUGGCAGCAUCAAAACAACAUGCAACUCCCCACUUGUGUGGGGAUUCUGUUCCUGGUGGCCACCCACAUCAGCUGGACACACGUAAGU